Molecule: ribosomal RNA, 504 nt
Filed under: uncultured bacterium
Lineage: Bacteria
Description: partial 16S ribosomal RNA
Rfam family: Bacterial small subunit ribosomal RNA
Source: RNAcentral
GACGAACGCUGGCGGCGUGCUUAACACAUGCAAGUCGAACGGUGAAGCGCUUGCCUUUUUGGUGGGUGUGGAUGAGUGGCGAACGGGUGAGUAACACGUGAGUAACCUGCCCUCUUCUUCUGGAUAACCUCAUGAAAGUGGGGCUAAUACGGGGUAUUCCGGGUCUGUCGCAUGGCGGGUUUGGGAAAGAUUGCGCCUUUGGGUGUUUUCGGUGGGGGAUGGGCUCGCGGCCUAUCAGCUUGUUGGUGGGGUGAUGGCCUACCAAGGCGGUGACGGGUAGCCGGCCUGAGAGGGUGGACGGCCACACUGGGACUGAGACACGGUCCAGACUCCUGCGGGAGGCAGCAGUGGGGAAUAUUGCACAAUGGGCGCAAGCCUGAUGCAGCGACGCCGCGUGAGGGAUGGAGGCCUUCGGGUUGUGAACCUCUUUCGCCAGUCAAGCAGGCCUGCUCCUGUGUGGGUGGGUUGACGGUAGCUGGAUAAGAAGCGCCGGCUAACUACGUG